This 355-nucleotide long non-coding RNA is filed under the name Homo sapiens (human). RNAcentral describes it as "non-protein coding lnc-GMIP-1:1". The record is from RNAcentral. Lineage: Eukaryota; Metazoa; Chordata; Mammalia; Primates; Hominidae.
CCGGAGCGGGGGCGCGGACCCAAGACCACCUGGAGCUCCGCCCGGGCAGCGCGGGGUCACGGCGGGAAUUUUCGGGUCGCCGAGUGACUCAGCCCCGCAGGCUCGAAACUGCGGGCGCAUGAGGGCGCACCCGGACGCUCUACCGCUCCCGCCGCAGUCGCCGGGCCAUGGGCCUCGAGCCCGCCCCGAACCCCCGCGAGCCCGCCUUGUCUGCGGCGUGACUGGAGGCCCAGUCUGGAGACGCCUGGAGGCCCGGCCAUCCAUCCCUUCCCCAACCGCUGUCUUUGUCCCGGAGACCGCCAGUGUCCUCCGUCCCACCCGGAACAGCCUAUUGCCCCGCCCGCUUGGGAAGCAC